UACAGAGGUCUCAAGCGUUGUUCGGAUUCAUUGGGCGUAAAGGGUGUGUAGGUGGCGCGCUAAGUCGGGUGUGAAAGCCCCCGGCUCAACUGGGGAGGGUCACGCGAUACUGAUCGACUCGAAGGCAGGAGAGGGUAGUGGAAUUCCCGGUGUAGUGGUGAAAUGCGUAGAUAUCGGGAGGAACACCAGUGGCGAAGGCGACUACCUGGCCUGUUCUUGACGCUGAGGCGCGAAAGCUAGGGGAGCAAACGGG
This 253-nucleotide ribosomal RNA is filed under the name uncultured bacterium. RNAcentral's name for it is "partial 16S ribosomal RNA". It matches the Rfam family "Bacterial small subunit ribosomal RNA", at positions 524 to 776 of the family's 1533-position model. The record is from RNAcentral.